Molecule: long non-coding RNA, 3793 nt
Organism: Seriola aureovittata
Lineage: Eukaryota; Metazoa; Chordata; Actinopteri; Carangiformes; Carangidae
Exons: 2
Source: RefSeq, a predicted model, not a curated record
GUAUUUAUGCUUUUAUUGAAUCUAGAUGUAAAGACAAAUAUAUAUAUAUAGAGAGAGAGACAGUGUGUUACUUAGGGGAGAGGAUGAUAUACAAGAAGUCAGGACCUGGUCUGACCUCAAAUUAGCAUCAGUUUCCCCUCAUUUCAUACUGAACUUGGUGGUUUACCGACACAAUAAGCCUGUUAUAAUGAUCAAGUACAGAAUAUAACGCCACUGUGGGCCGUGCUGCUGUUAAAAACACGCCAACCGUCACUGCUAAUGUUACAACUCCCCAGGUCUUGUAGUGAUAGUCAAAGAAAUUACAAAUUAGAAGGGAAGUACAACCAUUGUGCCAUUAGAGGCGAAGUCAAGACGACUCCAUCUGCUUUCUAGCCACGGAACAGAAACGCUGCUCCGUCCUUUAUUUGACAUAAUAACAGGUUGAACAGUGAAAUUCAAACAUUAGCGACACUUGUGACAGGCUUAAUUAAAAAAGGGAGAAAGGGGAAGACCGGGAGCCAAUUUCCCUCAGUAUAAUACAGUAUAUAGAGCAACACAGUCGUGAAGGGAAACAUCAGAACCAGCACCAGGAUGGUUAAAUGGACGGAUUGUAGUCCAGGACAAUCAGAACUCAUGAGAUGCAGAAUAUGUUCAGGAGCAGUUGAUCACUGUUGUAAAAGGGUCAGAAAUGAUCAUGAGGAACAAGAUAACCUGACUCUGCUGUUAGCCAUGAGGACGGUUUGUAUCUCACAUAAUUAUACUGAUAAAUUCAUUUUUAGUGAUUAAUAGAAACAUAUUAAUAAGAAAACAUAUAGAUUAUAACAUUAAAUGUACUGUAUACCUGUAGAAGUGACAUAUAUACCAUAGAAUGACAUGAAAUACAUUUGCAAUCCAUGAAUAAUUUUGUUAUACUAUUUAUAUUCAGGCAACUUUCCCCUGUGCUACGGUGGGUUGUAGAGAAGAGUAUUUUCCCCACAGUAUUCUGGAGGAUUUCAUGUCUUUCCUGGAGAAUCUCUGGUAGAGAGAUGACAUGAGAUGACACAGACUGUAAACAAUAUGUAAACAAAGGUCAUCAGGAGGGUUAAAACCAAGUUCACCACUAAGAUAUCCCCACGAGAGAGUCUGUAUGAUAUUUACCGUGUUGACCUGAUGUGACUCUGCUCCUUGUUUACCUCGGAGUGAAUGAGACGUCACAUUAUUUUUUAAAUCACCUCCGUCAUCCUGUAUUUAAAAACACUCGCGGUCAGACGCCGCAGACGUGAUGCAGAAACAACGCAUCGCUGCGGCUCUAAAGAGGAGCACCCUGGGUAAAUUCUCUCUUAGCACACCGCUGCACCUGUGACACACAAAUAAUUUGCCUCUCACAGGUUUACAUCGCAGAAAACAAUAGCAUCUGUGGCGCUGGGUGACAACUUAUCUGCCCUCGCGGAAACAGGAACAACACGCUCUGUCUCAGCGGUAAUCUUUGAUCAGUUGAAACGCUUUCUGUGAUAAACAUUGACUCGAUCCCCACGGGCAAUCACUCUAUAGUGCUGGCGUCAUGGGAGGUAAUGUAUGCACAGACAUGUUGAAUUAGCCUCGGGCCCUCGUACACACACAUGCAUGCAAAAACACACACACACACACACACACACACACUUAUACACGUGCACACGGUGAGAUGAAUUGCUACGCCACCUAGAAUAAAUACAUAUCAGCUACAGUGAGCCGGGGCGCUUUGCUCUUUCCUAUUAAUCCUCAGCAUGGUGAUUUAUUGCGGUGUGCUUGUCAACAGCCAUAUAGUCCCCUGGAAGUGUGGCCAGCCGAGAGGAAUGGUGGGAGUUUAAGAGUAAAGCCCUGCAGCUGCCCCCCCCUCCCCUCCCCUGUAGUCUAUUUAUGUGCAUUCUGGUCCACGCUGGGGGUGAAGUGAAUGCAUGGGUUGGUUGAACAACAACAACAUUUUGCGCAAAGAGGAACAGGUCUGUAAAAAUUAUCUAUUUGUCAUAAUCCAACUUUUAAAUUGAUGUCUUUCCCCAGAUGUCGCCGCUGUAGAGAUUCUGCAUUUGCCAAGGUGAGAGGCCUGGACGCUCCGCAAUCAGCUGCGUGCAGGAGAGUGAAUACUAAAGGGCUCUUCUUGACAGAGAGACAGACAGGAGAGUUAGGCAAGAGGAAGAGAGAGAGAGAGAGAGAGAGAGAGAGAGAGAGAGAGAGAGGGGACGACAUGCAGCAAAGAGCCUGAGUCGGGUUCGUACACACUCUACCAGGUGAGACACCGUCCCAUUACUGCAGUUUGUUCAGAGCAAACACUCACAUAUGCCGCCCUUCUUCUGUAAAUACUGCAGCACCAAUUGUGUGUUAAUCCGCAGGUGAAAAUAGUCCCCAACAAAUGCACUAUUUAUGUUUUGAUAAGAACUACAGUGCACAGCUGUUAUAGACAUUUAUUAAGCCUUGUUUUUUCUAAUGAAUUAAGUCUAUUUGUGACACAUUUUGAAGGAUAUACAUCUUCAGCAGAAACACGACUAACACUGUUCAUUUUGGUGCUUUUCGUGAGAUCUGUUGUUUCUGUCUACGAUCUCAUAUUUGUCUGAGUAUGUUACUAUUUUAAAAACAAUGAUGAUUCACAUUGGAUCGUGUGCUCCACUGACCUUCAUCCGUUCAAGAGCAGCUCCUAAAGUGCCCCCGAGUUGAGGUCGCUUUGUCGACUUCCGUUUCCAAGGUCAGGAAUUCACUCUGAACGUCACUUCUGGAGCAACAUGGAAGUAAAAAAAAAAAACCCUCGACAAGCUCAGAAGUAAUAUAAAUUUUAACAUUUACGCCACGUUGACUUAUUCAGUGUUCCGUGUAUAAUCCAUUAGACAAAUCUAUAGUGAAGAUUAAGCUGAAGUUUUUGACAUUUUCAGUACAAAUCAUCAUCAUUUCGCAUGUAUUUUGAGGACACUAUAUUGUGCAUACACUCUAAACUCAGAAUUCAGACCCUAAUAAAAUGGCAGACAGUCAAUAAAGUGCACUUUAUAGUAAACAGGCAGUGAUGGUCCAUGUGUUAUAUGAUCAAAAGCUCUGGAACAGCUACUAAAUGACCUUGCAGCGAGAUUGUUUUGUCAACUGCCGUUUCCACCAUCAAGAAUAAACUUUAAACCUCAACUCAAUCUUUCAUUUUGACUCGUUUUAUUGUGAAUUUUGACACAGUUACGACACACGCCGUAGAAAAACCUACAGGAACAGAGCAGCUUUUUCAUACUGCGGACACCAAGGACACUUCGACUUGAUAGCUACAAACAUGAAAUAAGGCCACUCCACUUUAAAGCGUAUUGUACGUUUGAGAGAAGACAGCGGCUUCCUUCGGCUUUGAGGCUCCGCAAGUGGCAGACGACCUUCGGGGGACUCUAAACAGUGAAAACUAAAAAGGUCUACAUAUCUCACACGGCACAAAGGACUGAAUUUCACAGAUGUUACAGGAAAUGACUGUAGCUAAUGUCGGUAUGAAGCUGUUGGAAUUCAUUUUAGAGGGACGGGGGUCCACAUGAAAGAGGAGUAAAGAGGAGGUUAACACACGGCUCAUUCGUUUUCUUCAACGCUCUACAUUGUUAUGACAUAGAAUUACAGCGGCAUGGGAUCACAAACUUUUAUAUGCAUCUUCUUUGGUGGCUGCUUCCACACUCGUGCCACACACACACACACACACACACACACACACACACGUUUUUAUAUCAUGAUUCUCAUUUAGCACAAUAUCACUUCACUGAUCUCUGAAAUAAGUCUGAAUACUUUAAAUACAUUUUUCUGUGAACGGCUGAAAACUUCACCCUUGAAUGUUCGUCUCAGACUGGCCGGUGGU